RNAcentral lists this ribosomal RNA (495 nucleotides) under uncultured bacterium. Its description in RNAcentral is "partial 16S ribosomal RNA". It matches the Rfam family "Bacterial small subunit ribosomal RNA", at positions 28 to 523 of the family's 1533-position model. The record is from RNAcentral.
GAUGAACGCUAGCGGGAGGCCUAACACAUGCAAGCCGAGCGGUAGAGAUUCUUCGGAAUCUUGAGAGCGGCGUACGGGUGCGGAACACGUGUGCAACCUGCCUUUAUCAGGGGGAUAGCCUUUCGAAAGGAAGAUUAAUACCCCAUAAUAUAUUGAAUGGCAUCAUUUGAUAUUGAAAACUCCGGUGGAUAGAGAUGGGCACGCGCAAGAUUAGAUAGUUGGUGAGGUAACGGCUCACCAAGUCUACGAUCUUUAGGGGGCCUGAGAGGGUGAUCCCCCACCCUGGUACUGAGACACGGACCAGACUCCUACGGGAGGCAGCAGUGAGGAAUAUUGGACAAUGGGUGCGAUCCUGAUCCAGCCAUCCCGCGUGAAGGACGACGGCCCUAUGGGUUGUAAACUUCUUUUGUAUAGGGAUAAACCUAGAUACGUGUAUCUAGCUGAAGGUACUAUACGAAUAAGCACCGGCUAACUCCGUGCCAGCCGCCGCCGUAA